UUUUUCUCUUCACAUAGACAGACUCGCGUACAACAUCAAUGUUCUGUGGAGUAUGAGCACUUCUUGGUCGUCCUGUUGGUUUCUUCUUUAGGGCAGAUCCAGUCUCUUCAAAGUUAUUAAUCCAACAUUUUAUCACGUGUUUUGAUGGAACAGCACCAUGACGUCCUAAGUUGUAAAAACGUCGGAACUCAGUCUGCGCAGCUGUCAAACUAUCACAGUUUUUAUAAAAUAUUUUUAUGGCUAACACACGCUGUUGCCUGUUCCACUGAUCCGUGGUUACUAAAAUGGGGGGGUGUUUACUUGCUCAAGGUCACUGUCUCGCAGUGCUGCCACUUUCUCAUGUCUGCCAAUACGCACUUCAACAAUUCCUG
Sphaeramia orbicularis (orbiculate cardinalfish) is the source of this 371-nucleotide long non-coding RNA. RefSeq lists it as uncharacterized. The record is from RefSeq and is a predicted model, not a curated record. The transcript is spliced from 3 exons. Lineage: Eukaryota; Metazoa; Chordata; Actinopteri; Kurtiformes; Apogonidae.